RNAcentral lists this ribosomal RNA (589 nucleotides) under Ostrinia penitalis. RNAcentral describes it as "partial large subunit ribosomal RNA". The stretch from base 328 to 486 matches the Rfam family "Archaeal large subunit ribosomal RNA", at positions 2542 to 2701 of the family's 2987-position model. The record is from RNAcentral. Lineage: Eukaryota; Metazoa; Arthropoda; Insecta; Lepidoptera; Crambidae.
AUAUUGACCGUACAAAGGUAGCCUAAUAAAUAGUCUUUUAAUUGAUGACUUGUAUGAAAGAUUGGAUGAAAUAUAGACUGUCUCUUAUUUAUUAAUGAUGAAGUUAAUUUUUUGAUUAAAAAGUCAAAAUUUAUUUAAAAGACGAGAAGACCCCAUAGAGUUUUAUAUUAUUAUUUAAUAAAAUUAUUUUUUAGACUAUUAAUUAAAUUACUUAAUAAUAUUUUAUUGGGGGGAUAGAAAAAUAUAAAUAACUUUUUUUAACUUUAUUUCAUAGAUAAUUGAGUAAUUGAUCCAAAAUUUUUGAUUAUAAGAAAAAAUUACCUUAGGGAUAACAGCGUAAUUUUUUUUUUUAGUUCAAAUAAGAAAAAGAGUUUGCGACCUCGAUGUUGGAUUAAGAUAAAAUUUAUAUGCAAAAGUAUAAAAUUUUGAUCUGUUCGAUCAUUAAAAUCUUACAUGAUCUGAGUUCAAACCGGUGUGAGCCAGGUUGGUUUCUAUCUUUAAAAUAAUAAAAUAUUUUAGUACGAAAGGGAUAAAUAUUUAAAUUAAAUUUAUUUAAUGAAUUUUAUUAAUGUUUAUUUAAAAUUUUAAA